This 766-nucleotide ribosomal RNA is filed under the name uncultured bacterium. Its description in RNAcentral is "bacterial SSU rRNA". It matches the Rfam family "Bacterial small subunit ribosomal RNA", at positions 8 to 796 of the family's 1533-position model. The record is from RNAcentral.
AGAGUUUGAUCCUGGCUCAGAUUGAACGCUGGCGGCAUGCCUUACACAUGCAAGUCGAACGGUAACAGGCCGCAAGGUGCUGACGAGUGGCGAACGGGUGAGUAAUGCAUCGGAACGUGCCCAGUCGUGGGGGAUAACUGCUCGAAAGAGCAGCUAAUACCGCAUACGACCUGAGGGUGAAAGCGGGGGACCGUAAGGCCUCGCGCGAUUGGAGCGGCCGAUGUCAGAUUAGCUAGUUGGUGGGGUAAAGGCCUACCAAGGCAACGAUCUGUAGUUGGUCUGAGAGGACGACCAGCCACACUGGGACUGAGACACGGCCCAAACUCCUACGGGAGGCAGCAGUGGGGAAUCUUGCGCAAUGGGCGAAAGCCUGACGCAGCCAUGCCGCGUGAAUGAUGAAGGUCUUAGGAUUGUAAAAUUCUUUCACCGGGGACGAUAAUGACGGUACCCGGAGAAGAAGCCCCGGCUAACUUCGUGCCAGCAGCCGCGGUAAUACGAAGGGGGCUAGCGUUGCUCGGAAUUACUGGGCGUAAAGGGAGCGUAGGCGGAUAGUUUAGUCAGAGGUGAAAGCCCAGGGCUCAACCUUGGAAUUGCCUUUGAUACUGGCUAUCUUGAGUAUGGGAGAGGUUAGCGGAACUCCGAGUGUAGAGGUGAAAUUCGUAAAUAUUCGGAAGAACACCAGUGGCGAAGGCGGCUAACUGGCCCAUUACUGACGCUGAGGCUCGAAAGCGUGGGGAGCAAACAGGAUUAGAUACCCUGGUAGUCC